AUGGCCUUGUGCCGGCGAUGGUUCAUUCAAAUUUCUGCCCUAUCAACUUUCGAUGGUAGGAUAGUGGCCUACCAUGGUUUCAACGGGUAACGGGGAAUUAGGGUUCUAUUCCGGAGAGGGAGCCUGAGAAACGGCUACCACAUCCAAGGAAGGCAGCAGGCGCGCAAAUUACCCAAUCCCGACACGGGGAGGUAGUGACAAUAAAUACUGAUACAGGGCUCUUUUGAGUCUUGUAAUUGGAAUGAGUACAAUUUAAAUCCCUUAACGAGGAACAAUUGGAGGGCAAGUCUGGUGCCAGCAGCCGCGGUAAUUCCAGCUCCAAUAGCGUAUAUUAAAGUUGUUGCAGUUAAAAAGCUCGUAGUUGAACCUUGGGCCUGGCUGGCCGGUCCGCCUCACCGCGUGCACUGGUCCGGCCGGGCCUUUCCUCCUGGGGAGCCGCAUGCCCUUCACUGGGUGUGUCGGGGAACCAGGACUUUUACUUUGAAAAAAUUAGAGUGUUCAAAGCAGGCCUAUGCUCGAAUACAUUAGCAUGGAAUAAUAGAAUAGGACGUGUGGUUCUAUUUUGUUGGUUUCUAGGACCGCCGUAAUGAUUAAUAGGGAUAGUCGGGGGCAUCAGUAUUCAAUUGUCAGAGGUGAAAUUCUUGGAUUUAUUGAAGACUAACUACUGCGAAAGCAUUUGCCAAGGAUGUUUUCAUUAAUCAGUGAACGAAGUUAGGGGAUCGAAGACGAUCAGAUACCGUCGUAGUCUUAACCAUAAACUAUGCCGACUAGGGAUCGGGCGAUGUUAUCUUUUUGACUCGCUCGGCACCUUACGAGAAAUCAAAGUUUUUGGGUUCUGGGGGGAGUAUGG
Molecule: ribosomal RNA, 850 nt
Filed under: uncultured fungus
Lineage: Eukaryota; Fungi
Description: SSU rRNA
Rfam family: Eukaryotic small subunit ribosomal RNA
Source: RNAcentral